GAUGAACGCUGGCGGCGUGCCUAAUACAUGCAAGUCGAGCGAACGGACGAGAAGCUUGCUUCUCUGAUGUUAGCGGCGGACGGGUGAGUAACACGUGGAUAACCUACCUAUAAGACUGGGAUAACUUCGGGAAACCGUAGCUAAUACCGGAUAAUAUUUUGAACCGCAUGGUUCAAAAGUGAAAGACGGUCUUGCUGUCACUUAUAGAUGGAUCCGCGCUGCAUUAGCUAGUUGGUAAGGUAACGGCUUACCAAGGCAACGAUGCAUAGCCGACCUGAGAGGGGGAUCGGCCACACUGGAACUGAGACACGGUCCAGACUCCUACGGGAGGCAGCAGUAGGGAAUCUUCCGGAAUGGGCGAAAGCCUGACGGAGCAACGCCGCGUGAGUGAUGAAGGUCUUCGGAUCGUAAAACUCUGUUAUUAGGGAAGAACAUAUGUGUAAGUAACUGUGCACAUCUUGACGGUACCUAAUCAGAAAGCCACGGCUAACUACGUG
Molecule: ribosomal RNA, 497 nt
Filed under: uncultured bacterium
Lineage: Bacteria
Description: partial 16S ribosomal RNA
Rfam family: Bacterial small subunit ribosomal RNA
Source: RNAcentral